UACGGGGGGGGCAAGCGUUGUUCGGAAUUACUGGGCGUAAAGGGCGCGUAGGCGGUUCGCUAAGUUGGAUGUGAAAACUCUGGGCUUAACCCAGAGCCUGCAUCCAAAACUGGCGAACUUGAGUACUGGAGGGGAAAGCGGAAUUCCUGGUGUAGCGGUGAAAUGCGUAGAUAUCAGGAGGAACACCGGUGGCGAAGGCGGCUUUCUGGACAGUAACUGACGCUGAGGCGCGAAAGCUAGGGGAGCAAACAGG
Molecule: ribosomal RNA, 253 nt
Filed under: uncultured bacterium
Lineage: Bacteria
Description: partial 16S ribosomal RNA
Rfam family: Bacterial small subunit ribosomal RNA
Source: RNAcentral